Molecule: unclassified non-coding RNA, 166 nt
Filed under: uncultured Lasiosphaeriaceae
Lineage: Eukaryota; Fungi; Ascomycota; Sordariomycetes; Sordariales; Lasiosphaeriaceae
Description: sequence contains ITS1
Source: RNAcentral
CAGAGUUGCAAAACUCCCAAACCAUUGUAAACCUUACCGUUACCGUUGCUUCGGCGGGUGGCUCCCUUCGGGGUGCUGCGCCCUCCCUUCGGGGUCGGCAGCCUGCCAGAGGUAUGUUAAACUCUCGUAUUAAUUGGUAUCUCUGAGUAACUUAUAAAAUAAGUCA